GAAAAAACUAUGAUUAGGAAAAGUAACUUAGACUUAACUUUAAGAGAAUAGCUGGUUGGUGCAAAGCUAUAGGGAAGCUAAGAGAAAAUCACCUAGGAGUUGGAAACUGAAAAGCUGUAGCUUAUUAAGUUAUCACGUUGCCUGCGUUAAAGGAUAGAGUAUGUUUGUACUUGAACUAAACACUAUUUAUGAAAGUGUUAACCUUAGGUGGUUUGCGAUUUUAACUUCGUCCUGUGG
Molecule: non-coding RNA, 237 nt
Filed under: Clostridium taeniosporum
Lineage: Bacteria; Bacillati; Bacillota; Clostridia; Eubacteriales; Clostridiaceae
Description: T-box sequence
Rfam family: T-box leader
About the family: Uncharged tRNA acts as the effector for transcription antitermination of genes in the T-box leader family.
Source: RNAcentral